Long non-coding RNA from Acomys russatus (golden spiny mouse), 618 nucleotides. RefSeq lists it as uncharacterized. The record is from RefSeq and is a predicted model, not a curated record. The transcript has 3 exons. NCBI's taxonomy places the organism in Eukaryota, Metazoa, Chordata, Mammalia, Rodentia, Muridae.
CCCAAGCCUUCUCUUCACCCUUUGGCCUAGGGGGAGAGACUGACGCUUGUGGAGGGAGGAAUGCUUGAGGGGGCUCAGAUGUCAACUGUAUCCUCCUUGACCUGGAAGAGAUCUAGCUGACAGUCUGCAAGCUGGAGAGAGGGCAAAAGUGGACCGCCAAAGGAAAGGAGUCCAAAAAGGCUGAGAUGCUGUGGUCAGCCAGAAGCUAGGCUCGGUUCAUGAAACAGUAACAACAGUGAAAUCCAGCUUCCGGAAACAGCUGGUCUGGGCUCUGCUGCAGCGGCAGCUCCCUCGUGUGUACUGACCCCGGUGGUUUAAAGUCCAAUCUUACUGAAUUCCAGCAACGCCCCCUCGGGAUCAGUAUGAUUAUGACCAUCCCUUUACAAGACACCAGAGAAGCUGGGGAGAAAUAUGAAAACUCAACUGUGCCCUGCACCAGCCUCCGCCCCCGAGUUAAGGAAUGCGAAAGGAUCUGUUGGAAGGGAUUUGGCUCGAAGAUUCUAAACUCUUUUUAGCUCCAGGCCUUCAUCACCGCAGAGCAGAGAAUUUUAUAAUCACAAAAGUGGGAAGAAUCUGAGAAGUCCUCUGGCUCAGAGAUCCUUCAAUGUUUAGAUUUUU